UGAUUAAGCCAUGCAAGUCGAGAGGGUUCGGCCCUCGGCGUACUGCUCAGUAACACGUGGAUAACCUGCCCUAGGGAAGGGGAUAACCCCGGGAAACUGGGGAUAAUACCCUAUAGGUUACAGAUGCUGGAAUGCUCUGUAACCCAAAGUUCCGGCGCCCUAGGAUGGAUCUGCGGCCGAUUAGGUUGUUGUUGGGGUAAUGGCCCAACAAGCCAGUAAUCGGUACGGGUUGUGGGAGCAAGAGCCCGGAGUUGGAUUCUGAGACACGAAUCCAGGCCCUACGGGGCGCAGCAGGCGCGAAAACUUUACAAUGCGGGCAACCGUGAUAAGGGAACCUCGAGUGCCUGUAAAUGCAGGCUGUUUAGGUGUUUAAAACGCACCUGGAGAAAGGGCCGGGCAAGACCGGUGCCAGCCGCCGCGGUAAUACCGGCGGCUCGAGUGGUGGUUAUUUUUAUUGGGCUUAAAGCGUUCGUAGCUGGGUUGUUAAGUCUCUUGGGAAAUCUGGCGGCUUAACCGUCAGGCGUCUAAGGGAUACUGGCAAUCUUGGAACCGGGAGAGGUGAGGGGUACUUCGGGGGUAGGAGUGAAAUCCUGUAAUCCUCGAGGGACCACCUGUGGCGAAGGCGCCUCACCAGAACGGCUUCGACAGUGAGGGACGAAAGCUGGGGGAGCAAACCGGAUUAGAUACCCGGGUAGUCCCAGCCGUAAACUAUGCGCGUUAGGUGUAUCGGUGACCACGAGUUACCGAGGUGCCGAAGGGAAACCGUGAAACGUGCCGCCUGGGAAGUACGGUCGCAAGGCUGAAACUUAAAGGAAUUGGCGGGGGAGCA
RNAcentral lists this ribosomal RNA (829 nucleotides) under uncultured archaeon. RNAcentral's name for it is "bacterial SSU rRNA". It matches the Rfam family "Archaeal small subunit ribosomal RNA", at positions 41 to 878 of the family's 1478-position model. The record is from RNAcentral.